GAGUUUGAUCGUGGCUCAGGAUGAACGCUGGCGGCGUGCUUAACACAUGCAAGUCGAACGGGGAUUACACGGAGAUGCGAUUUCGGUCAAAUCAAGUGCAAUCUUAGUGGCGGACGGGUGAGUAACGCGUGGGGUAACCUGCCUUGCACUGGGGGAUAACACUUAGAAAUAGGUGCUAAUACCGCAUAAGCGCACGGUCCUGCAUGGGACAGUGUGAAAAACUCCGGUGGUGCAAGAUGGACCCGCGUCUGAUUAGCUGGUUGGCGGGUAAAGGCCCACCAAGGCGACGAUCAGUAGCCGGCCUGAGAGGGUGGACGGCCACAUUGGGACUGAGACACGGCCCAAACUCCUACGGGAGGCAGCAGUGGGGGAUAUUGGACAAUGGGGGAACCCUGAUCCAGCGACGCCGCGUGAGUGAAGAAGUAUUUCGGUAUGUAAAGCUCUGUCAGCAGGGAAGAAAGCAAUGACGGUACCUGACCAAGAAGCCCCGGCUAACUACGUGCCAGCAGCCGCCGCCGUAACACC
RNAcentral lists this ribosomal RNA (525 nucleotides) under uncultured microorganism. Its description in RNAcentral is "bacterial SSU rRNA". It matches the Rfam family "Bacterial small subunit ribosomal RNA", at positions 9 to 527 of the family's 1533-position model. The record is from RNAcentral.